AGACAUAAGUCACACAAUUAUUACCGGCUACAAGGAAGAAAGGCUACAAAUUUACAAAAGAAAUCAAAAUUCUAUUACAAGUCAGAACUAUUCCCAUCCAUGGUCAUUCAGAUUAUUCAAAUCACUCAAGUUCAAUCAUUCAAGCGUCUACACGCCAUUUCAAGAUUACAAAAAGUUACAAAGGUCCAAAGAAACUUUUACAAAAAAAAGCAUUUAAUCAGUUACAAGAAAAUGCAUCCUAAGCUUAAUCUUCCGUCUUCAUCUUUUACCAUGGGCUCCAUGACAUGUUUGAACCAUGCCUAA
This is a non-coding RNA of Vicia faba (fava bean), 303 nucleotides long. Lineage: Eukaryota; Viridiplantae; Streptophyta; Magnoliopsida; Fabales; Fabaceae. The record is from the annotation of a GenBank genome assembly.